This 708-nucleotide ribosomal RNA is filed under the name Scleroderma sp. RNAcentral's name for it is "eukaryotic LSU rRNA". It matches the Rfam family "Eukaryotic large subunit ribosomal RNA", at positions 173 to 857 of the family's 3401-position model. The record is from RNAcentral. Lineage: Eukaryota; Fungi; Basidiomycota; Agaricomycetes; Boletales; Sclerodermataceae.
GACCGUGUACAAGUCUCCUGGAAGGGAGCAUCGUAGAGGGUGACAAUCCCGUCUCUGACACGGAUCCCCGGUGCUAUGUGAUGCGCUCUCGACGAGUCGAGUUGUUUGGGAAUGCAGCUCAAAUCGGGUGGUAAACUCCAUCUAAAGCUAAAUACAGGCGAGAGACCGAUAGCGAACAAGUACCGUGAGGGAAAGAUGAAAAGAACUUUGGAAAGAGAGUUAAACAGUACGUGAAAUUGCUGGAAGGGAAACGCUUGACGUCAGUCGCGUCGUCCGGGGAUCAACCUCGCUUUUCGCUGGGCGUAUUUCCCGGUCGACGGGUCAGCAUCGAUUUCGACCGUCGUAGAAGGACGCGAGUGAAUGUGGCACUCCACGGGGUGUGUUAUAGCCUCGCGUAUGGAUGCGAUGGUCGGGAUCGAGGAACUCGGCACGACCCCUCGAGGGUUCGGGGCUUCGGUCCACGCGCGUGCCCAGGAUGCUGGCGUAAUGGCUUUAAGCGACCCGUCUUGAAACACGGACCAAGGAGUCUAACGUGCCUGCGAGUGUUCGGGUGCAAAACCCGAGCGCGCAACGAAAGUGAAAGUCGAGACCUCCGUCGUGGAGGGCACCGACGCCCGGACCGGAGCCUUUGGCGAUGGAUCUGCGGUAGAGCAUGUAUGUUGGGACCCGAAAGAUGGUGAACUAUGCCUGAAUAGGGCGAAGCCAGAG